CGGGGGGAGCAAGCGUUGUUCGGAUUUACUGGGCGUAAAGGGCGCGUAGGCGGCGUGACAAGUCACUUGUGAAAUCUCCGGGCUUAACCCGGAGCGGCCAAGUGAUACUGUCGUGCUAGAGUGCGGAAGGGGCUACUGGAAUUCUCGGUGUAGCGGUGAAAUGCGUAGAUAUCGAGAGGAACACCUGCGGCGAAGGCGGGUAGCUGGGCCGACACUGACGCUGAGGCGCGAAAGCCAGGGGAGCGAACGGGAUUAGAUACCCCGGUAGUCCUGGCCUUAAACGAUGGAUACUUGGUGUCCGGGGUUACAUAGUCCCCGGGUGCCGGCGCUAACGCAUUAAGUAUCCCGCCUGGGGAGUACGGUCGCAAGACUG
This 373-nucleotide ribosomal RNA is filed under the name uncultured organism. Its description in RNAcentral is "bacterial SSU rRNA". It matches the Rfam family "Bacterial small subunit ribosomal RNA", at positions 526 to 896 of the family's 1533-position model. The record is from RNAcentral.